CGGGGCGUGGCGCAGUCCGGUAGCGCACUUGCAUGGGGUGCAAGGGGUCGGAGGUUCGAAUCCUCUCGCCCCGACCA
This 77-nucleotide transfer RNA is filed under the name Anaerolineales bacterium. RNAcentral describes it as "tRNA-Pro". It matches the Rfam family "tRNA". Rfam says of the family: Transfer RNA (tRNA) molecules are approximately 80 nucleotides in length. Lineage: Bacteria; Bacillati; Chloroflexota; Anaerolineae; Anaerolineales. The record is from RNAcentral.